UCGGUAGGUGAACCUGCCGUUGGAUCAGU
Molecule: ribosomal RNA, 29 nt
Filed under: Trichomonas tenax
Lineage: Eukaryota; Parabasalia; Trichomonadida; Trichomonadidae
Description: partial 18S small subunit ribosomal RNA
Source: RNAcentral